GGAGGGAUGGCCGAGUGGUCGAAGGCGGCGGUUUGCUAAACCGUUGUACGGUGACAAGCCGUACCGUGGGUUCGAAUCCCACUCCCUCCGCCA
Molecule: transfer RNA, 93 nt
Filed under: Rhodospirillaceae bacterium
Lineage: Bacteria; Pseudomonadati; Pseudomonadota; Alphaproteobacteria; Rhodospirillales; Rhodospirillaceae
Also listed under: 2 other names
Description: tRNA-Ser
Rfam family: tRNA
About the family: Transfer RNA (tRNA) molecules are approximately 80 nucleotides in length.
Source: RNAcentral